Molecule: ribosomal RNA, 976 nt
Filed under: uncultured candidate division CAB-I bacterium
Lineage: Bacteria
Description: bacterial SSU rRNA
Rfam family: Bacterial small subunit ribosomal RNA
Source: RNAcentral
AGUUUGAUUCUGGCUCAGGAUGAACGCACAAGACGUGCCUAACACAUGCAAAUCGAAUGAAAACAAUUUAAUUAAAUUGUUUUCAUGGUGAACGGGUGAGUAACACAUAAGAAUCAGCUUUUAGAUAAGGCAUAAAAGAGUAAUAUCUUGGUAAUUCCCUAUAUGCGCAGCAGUGCUUAAAAAGGGGACUCCCGUCUAAAAACGAGCUUAUGCCUGAUUAGCUAGUUGGCGAGUUAAAAGCUCACCAAGGCGAAGAUCAGUAGCUGGCCUGAGAGGGCGGCCAGCCACAUUGGGACUGAGACACGGCCCAAGCUCCUACGGGAGGCAGCAGUGGGGAAUCUUCUGCAAUGGGCGCAAGCCUGACAGAGCGGCGUCAUGUGAAGGAAGAAGGCCUGAAAUAGGUUGUAAACUUCUUUUACUGAGUAAUGAAUACUGACAACGCAGUAAAAAAGUAUCGGCUAACUCCGUGCCAGCAGCCGCGGUAAUACGGGGGAUGCAAGCGUUAUCCGGAAUCACUGGGCGUAAAGCGUCUGUAGGUGGUUUAGUGUGUUCUUAGUUAAAUUAUGAAGCCUAACUUCAUGAAAAGUAAGAAAACUAUUAGACUUGAGUACGAUAGGGGUAAGAGGAAUUCUUCGAGAAGUAGUGAAAUGCGAAGAUACGAAGGAGAAGAUCAUAAGCGAAGGCUUCUUACUGGGUCGUAACUGACACUGAGAGACGAAAGCUAGGGGAGCGAAUGGGAUUAGAUACCCCAGUAGUCCUAGCUGUAAACGAUGGAUAUUCGGUGCCGGAUUUUAUUAGAACAUUUCGGUACCCUAGCUAACGCGUUAAAUAUCCCGCCUGAGGAGUACGCUCGCAAGGGUGAAACUCAAAGGAAUUGACGGGGGCUCGCACAAGCGGUGGAGCAUGUGGUUUAAUUCGAUGCAAAGCGAAGAACCUUACCAGGGCUUGACAGUAUGUAUAAAAGUCUUAACGGACU